Long non-coding RNA from Cyanistes caeruleus (blue tit), 6882 nucleotides. RefSeq lists it as uncharacterized. Lineage: Eukaryota; Metazoa; Chordata; Aves; Passeriformes; Paridae. The record is from RefSeq and is a predicted model, not a curated record.
GCGGGCAGCGGGGGCUGAGUCUGGAGGAGCGGGAGGAAAUAACGCGUGUUGGUACUGACGGUGUUUUGCCAUAGUUGAGUUCUUGUUUUUGAUGAGCAACAGCUGGGCGAACUGGGUCUGUUCAGAGGAGAGACGACUAAAAGGGGGCUUCAUCAAUGUCUAUGAGUAUCUGGCGGGACCGUGUCAAGAGUUUGGAUCCGGGCUCUGCUUGAGGGUGCCCAGCAAUAGGACAAGAGGCAACAGAAACUUAUGCGCAGGAAGUUCCACCUGAAUAUAAGGACCAACCUUUUUACUGUGCAGGUUAUGGCGCAGUGGAAUAGAUGUUCCAGAGAGGCUGUGGCGUCUCCCUCACUGGAAAUAUUCAAGAACCGACUGGACACGUUCGAGUGCCAUGUGCAUUAGGAUAGCCCUGCUUGGGCAGGGGGGCUGGACCAGGUGAUCCACUCUGGUCCUUUCCAACCUGAACCAUUCCGCUGUAUCACACUGUAGUUGUAUCAAUUUUACCUACACCACGUAGUGGAGCUGUGUACAAACACAGGCACUCACGUACAGGCUCCUUGCUAAGAAAAACAGAAGUAUGGGUGAUAUUUUAAAACCUGCUUUGUUAUUUUUCAGAAGAAAGUGUAAAACGCAGAGCAGUUUUUUUUUCCCAUGUGUUUGCCGGCAAAUAAAAUAGUAAUGGCUAAGCAGAGGUUUCACUGAAGAUUCAAAAAAGUCAUCCACAUCAGUGUGUAUGGAUGCAGCUAAAUAUUUAUAUAUGCGUGUACCUUAAAGUAUUAGCUUUAGUCAUAUUUGGGUGGAUUUCACUGGUUUUCAGUAGGUGUCACUAAAGCUCCAAAAGAACCCAAAUUUUCACUCUUCUGGCUGUUUUCUGAAGUCUGGAAUCUUUACCAAGUUUCAUCACACCACUCUUGCAGAAGUGCACAGUCUAGUCUGAUCCACUCCAUCAAACUGAAAUAACUCCUCGAAGGAUUUAGAUGACCCUUGCAUAUAUCUGUGCAAAGGCUGGACUUUCCUCUUUCUUGCAAAAAGUGCCCGGUGGGUGUUUUGCUGCUGUCAGCGGGUGUGCUACACACCUCAUGGCACAAGGACAUCAGCAAUGACCCCUCCGGGACUGCAGGCUGCCAAUGGAUUUUUCAUGACUGCACCCAAGAGCAACAAGUCCCUCCCUACCGUAUGUCUGUACUGCCAACCAAGUGACAGCUGGAAUAGCAGAACUGGAUUUUCACAAGGUGAAUGUGGCCACCCUAGAGCCUAUUCAGCAAGUAAGAAUCUUCUGGCUGUACUGGACCCUCGGAACACCCUCCUGGAGCUUAGCAACCCGCACUGGUGUGGAUGUGGGAUCAAGCCUGCCUUACUGGAGUCUCGUUCCACAGCGUCUGUGUAGACUUGCUUGGAAGAGGCAGGUGUGCAAUGGUUCCUACAGCUGAACCUACCCUGGUGUACUGCAGCUCUGCCAGAAGGUACAGCUGGGUCCAAAGCACGGCACACAGAUGUUGCCAUGAUUUACUUGUUUGAGCUUUUGUUCCACAGAACGCCAGGGGAAGUGACACAAACUUAGCAGCUUUAUUAGCUCCUGUGUAUACAACAGUGUAUGUGCACUGCAGUCUUCUUGUGCCUCCCCCAGAUUUGCAGUUGUAAAUGGAAUUCCAUUUAUUUUUAAGGAAAUCUGCCCUCCCCCCACAAAACUUAAGAGCUAUUUAAACAGUUGCAGGCAAUUAAGUAUGUGCCAUGUCCAGACCCUCCCCACGCUGCUGAUACAGUCAGAUGCCCGUUCACACAAUUUUUGUUUCAAAUCACACCAGCUGAAAUAAUAAUAAUCCAAAACACAGUAUUUCUUUAAUUCCAAAAUUUGUACAAGUUUACAAAUCAAUAUACCACCACACAAAGUAGUGAAAGGAAGAGAUGUUAAGCAACGUUUUAACGUUUUACUAUAUCAUAACAAUGUUCAAAUAUUGUUAAAUUUGACAUAGUAUUGCGAGAUUAUUUUUUUAAUAUAAAGAAUUUAUGCUUGAACAAGAAGAUACAGAUAAUGCCAUUGCUUUCUUUGUUUCUAUCCAAUGCAGUAUGCAGCUUCUAGAAAAUAUUGAUGAAAUGCUGUAUCUAGUUCAUAUGAGCUUUAUUUCCAUUAAAAUCUUGAAACAAAAUGGGAACACAAAGUGAAACAAAACCUUAUUAAUUAUUAAAGUUAAUAAAUAGAAACCUGUUUGAACAUUACAGCACAUAUAUAUUAUUUUCACUCCAUUUCUCCCUUUCUCUCUAUAGAUACAGUUUCCUAAGUUUUGGUGGUGGUUUUUUCAGAUUUCUGUUAAAUAGAAGUUUUAAGCUAUUCUGGGGACUUGCUUUUUUUUCUUUUUUUUUUUUUUUUUUUUUUUUAAUUUGACCUUCAAAAUAUUUUUGUAUUAACCUUAUAAAAUUUUUCAGAAUAUAUUUUUUACUUUUCAUCAGACUCUAUGUUCCAUCAGUGAGCAUUGCACUUAUCUUGGUAUAAUUAGAAUACAGAUAGGAACAAUAAUGAAACUAAACGUGGAAGGUCUUAAAGGCAGGAGGCAAGUUCAUCCAUUUUUUUUUUUCACCCUGAGUAUGUUUUUAGUUUAGUUUACAGCAAUGGCACAGGGCUCCUGAAGAUCAUUGAAACCAGGGACAUGAAAAGUGUUAAACACACGGUUCAUGUGUACCUGACAGUCUCAUGCAAAUGUAGGCUUUUAGCUUGGUUUGCUUUCAUUAUUUUCAUUGAUCAUUCAUUCGUCAAAAAACAUUUCAUUGUUUUUAUCAUUAAAGCAUUAACAGACAUUGAGACACGGGCCAAUAUUCUGCUCUCUGCUUAGGAUGUCAGCAGUGCUCACACAGGCCUGUUCUGCCAGGUACCCAGGUGACAGUGUGGCUCUCCCUACCCUCACUCCAAGUCUUGCCAGCUGCAGACAGUCAGGGAGUUUUGGUUGAUUCCCAGGCUGCCAGACUGGAUUAGAUGUUUUUAGUCUGUUGCUGGCUGGAUCUUCUUGCACUUUUUGAUCAUACAAAUUCAGGGCUCAGACUGAGUCUAUAGUCAGGUUAAGCAACUGUUCAUUUGAAACAAAUUCUCUCAUGUACUAUAUUAGCUGUAGUAUUAUUAGUUACACGUCUGAGUUUUCUCUGCAGGAAAUCAAGCACUAAUUUCAGCUGGAAGGAGGGGUCUAAUUUCUGUAAUAUCAGGGAUAUUUCAUCCCUUUGUUUCACAGCUUUCAUUUGAUUUUCAAGUUAAAAAAUGGGUGCUCAUCUGAUAUGGUUUUUCCAUGUCAACACUGAAGUUGUGGUGCUUCUGUAAGACAUGCUCAGGGUGGCCAAAGCAGAUGUGGGGCUGUCCUGCCCCACACCACAUCAGAAGUUCAUAAAGUCCACCACAGCAAGGGACGUGCACAACUGUAGGUAAAUGAUAAACCCAACAAAUAAAUGCAGUAUUGUAGAACUACAAAUGGCCAUUAAUACUUACAGUGAAUUUGAAGAGAUGUUGCUUCUGGUCCUACCAUGUUUCAAAUCAUCAGCUGAAAUGGUAUUUAGCUUAAAUAAUCAUUAGCAUUUAGUUAAAUUUUUUUUUUUUUUUGUACUUGUUGAGUCAAUAUAUAUAGUGCAAUUAAAAAAAAUACAAAUAAGACUGUGUUUGAGUUAUAAAGACUAAUAUAUACUACCCCAAAAAAGAGACAGAUAAGACACUCUAGAACCAUUUCAAUUUUUUAUGUGGAAAAGAAAUUAGGAUUUGAUUAAGCAUCCAUUCUUUUGUGCCCACAGCAGCAUGCUGUGAUGUACGAUUAUACUGAUAAAUAUUAUAAAUGAGAUAAUUUCAGAAACCACUACUUCAAGCUGCUCAUUUUCUCUUUCUGUGGAUGUAGACAUACCUGAUUCUGUGGAACAUAGGUAUCGUGUGAGGUUUGUCAUAUAUUGUGGAUGACAUUUAAAUGAUUUGUCCAAUUUGAUAAAAAUUACCAUACUGAUCCCUCUUAGCCAAUUGGACUGUACUACACUUUGGAUGAAAAGUGCUAUUUUUUCUUUGCCUGUUUAACAUCUUUUUAUUUUUAACUCUAGGAUUACUCACUCAUGAAUUUCUCAGGGCUCAUCCCAAUUUUUCCCUUCUAGCAGGCAUGCAGCACCAUAACUGGUAUAUAGUGUAAUAAUUCCAAUGGGUUGUUGAUGUAACUGGAAAACAUUUGAAAUUAUCAAUACAGAGGACUAGGAGAGGCAGCAGAAAUUGACUUCAGGCUUCUCAAAGCAAACUUGCUUCACUGCACAUGGUGACAUACCAAAUACUCGUUAUUUUUUAUUUCAUGGACAACAUUUUUCAGCUAUUGUUUUUCUGUGAUAUUUAUAUAUAUAUAUAAAAAUAGUAUAUAAAAUUCUAUAGCUCUGUGGGGAUACAAUACACUGGAUAGUUUGUAGUUCUAAUUCUGCAAGUAUCUACAUAAGAUUUCUACAUAAGUUCCAAUAAAGGCAACUCUUUUUGUCCAGUUAUGUAAAUGUGUUUAAUUAGUUAGCUGAACUGUGGGCCAAACAAUGCAUCUUGUUAUUACCAAAACAGUAAGAAACUAAAAAUUAGCUCAGCAUCUCUACCAAGGCUAGUGUUCUGCAUCUAGCAAUGGCUUCGAGGGAAUACUUUUAAAAAAUCACCCUCCAACCCCAGAAGGAGGAUGGGGAAAGCCUAAGUGAUACCUCACCUAUACAUGUUAUGACAUAACUUCAGCUUGAAGAAGCUGAAGCCAGAAGUUGUACCUUCAUUUUUGUGUUAUUACUCUUAAAACAAAGUUGGCACAUGACUUUGCAUCCAUGGUCCAGGCCUAGUAUUGGGGAAUUUCUUCUUGCAAAGUCAAUUUUUUCACUUCAUCCUAAGUUUAACAAGUUUUACUUUGCUUGUGUAACCUGUGUGUACCUUGGCAUGGUGGUGGAGCUCCUGUCUUACAUAAAAUAUUUAUAGUCUCACCUUACCUUUGUCCGAGUUAUUCUGCCUGUGCAACAGCUCUCUUUCUGCCUUCAGUAUCUUGGCUGCUUUCAAAUGUUUCAAUGUGAUUAAGGCAACACUAAGAUCUAUUUAUUUGCUUCACUCAUUUCCUUUGAAGUGAAAUACUGUGUUUUAUACUUCAAAGUCAACAUAGUAGACCUUUAUAUGAUUUUGGACACACAUUCCAAAAUUUGGCAACAUCAGCAAAAAAAAGUUUAAGCAGAACUAUUCUAGCGUUACUUUUAAGUUUACCCUUCAAAUUCUAAAAAUAAAAAUUAGCAUUUUACCAGAAUUGCUGACAAACCUUAGCUCUAAUGCCCUGCUUAUCCCUGUAUGAUUUAGUGCCAAAGAAUACAUUUUCACUGCUUCCUUGAUGUCAAAGUGGUGUUUCUAUAUUUAUAAUAUGAUGGGCUUUCCAGAAGCUUGUUUUCUGCAAAUGGAAUCCUAAUGGCUCUUAUUGAUUCCAUUAAAAAAGGAAGGUGCUGCUUCCUUUUCUUUGCUGCAAGCAUGUAGAUGGCUUUUUAAAUUCAGUUAUUGAUAUUCUAUGGCUUGUACAUCAUUAGAUUUUUACCAAUGUAAAGUGUAAUGGAUCCUAACAGUCAUUUAAAUCUUACCUUUCUAGAAAAGGUUUGCCAGUGUCUUUAAAAAUAAUAGAGUGACAGAGAGCGAUGGCUGUGGGAAAACACUCUCCUGUUACUAGAGGUGCUCUUCAUUAAAAUAAUCUACCUCAUUUAUGCAAACCUGGUCUUGUUGGAAAUAGCUCUGAAGAGGGAUAUCUAAUUUUAGCCACAAAACUGCCUUCCUGCCUUUAGGCUGACAUCUCUAACAACAACCUUCAAUUUUAUAAACUAAACACAUUCCGCAAGAAUCUAUCACAGGUUUUGAGGUAAAAAUCACAUCUACACAGACCUUUUAUUGCCAGAAAAAGAAAUACUUACACUUCAUAAUUAAAAACUGAACAGGACACAUAAAAGACAAAAAUAAAUUGUAAUAUGUACACACAUUAGAAAGGAUAAAUAGCAAAUAUAUUGUAAUACUGCAUUAAAUGUAUGCAUAUGUGAAUUCUGGACCCCCCCCCCAAUGUUGUGUACACUAAUUCAAAGGAUAAAUAAGUGCUAAUAUAAGACAGAGAAUUUCUUAGUGUAAACAACACCACAGGCUUUUUAAUAGGCCUUUGGGCCAACUUAGAAAAACCAUGUAUUGCCUUUCACACUCCAUACCACUUAAUUUUCAUAGUACUGUAUUCACAUGUACAAGAUAGUAUAAAAAAUUACGAAUCUAAGAAGCAUUCUCCACACUCAACAUAAACAGGCUGGAGACACUCCAAGGAUUUUUCUUUCACUUUUAAAGGACCACUAGCUGAAGACAUACUGAUUCACCUGGGAGUUACUUCUCAAAGCAGUGCAAGAGUCCUUAAAUGUAAAAAGUUACAUUAGUAAUCACUGCUCAGGCCUAUCAAUAAAGACUUCUGUGCCUAAUUUAAAUUCUGACUUUGGAUUCACACUAGCAUGAUGUCAAAGUUGUCACCACUGCCUGCCUUGGAUGACAAAGAUAAUGAUCCCUCUGGUUUGAAUGGCAAGUAACAGACAGCAAGGAGUGUUUCUAAACACAAAGCAUUUCAUUGCAUUCAUAGUGUCACAUUAUUUGUCUUUCAAAUCUUGUUUAUGUAUUUCUGAGGAUCCAGAGUAUGUCAACAUUAAAAAACAAAAAAAUAUAUUACUUAUUCUGUAUGAAUGUUCCAUGUGUUUUCCUGAAGCUUGUGCACUGGGAUUUAAAAAAAGACAGUUGAGUUAUACUAGGAGUAAUUUCUGGCAACUGUAUUUACUGGCACCGAAGAAAAGGAUAGUUCUUCCUAAAGUACUGAUGACACGAGGACUUAUGGCUUUCUAUCGUUUUAAGACAGGCUGCAGCCACUA